Molecule: long non-coding RNA, 419 nt
Organism: Asparagus officinalis (garden asparagus)
Lineage: Eukaryota; Viridiplantae; Streptophyta; Magnoliopsida; Asparagales; Asparagaceae
Exons: 4
Source: RefSeq, a predicted model, not a curated record
AUACCAUCUCCUCCCCUCCAUCGACUUCUUUUCGAUCAUCGAAACGAGAGAGAGAGAGAGAGAGAAAGAGUCGUCGAUUUAAUAAAUCGUCUCUCGCGCGCUUAGGGUUUCCGUCGAUCCUCGAGAUCUCAGCCAGUUCCGAUCUGAUUUCCAUCGGAUUCGGUAGGGUUUCGGUCCUAUUCCGGCGAACUGAGACGGCGGCGGGCGUCAGUUUGGGGGGUUCUCUCCAAUUCUCCGGCGUUGGAGGGAUGGAAAUGGCGUCCACUGCUAAGGAUAAGCUGGUGUACUUCAGAAUAAAAGAGCUUAAAGAUGUUCUGACACAACUUGGUCUCCCGAAGCAAGGCAAGAAACAGGAACUAGUGGAUAAAAUUUUAUCGUUGCUCUCUGAUGAACAAGCAGGUUCAAGGUCACACUCUUGG